RNAcentral lists this ribosomal RNA (253 nucleotides) under uncultured bacterium. RNAcentral's name for it is "partial 16S ribosomal RNA". It matches the Rfam family "Bacterial small subunit ribosomal RNA", at positions 524 to 776 of the family's 1533-position model. The record is from RNAcentral.
UACAGAGGUGGCAAGCGUUGUUCGGAAUUACUGGGCGUAAAGGGCGCGUAGGCGGGGAGGUAAGUCGGGUGUGAAAUCCCUCGGCCCAACCGAGGAACUGCGCCCGAGACUGCUUCUCUUGAGUCCCGGAGAGGAAGAUGGAAUUCCCGGUGUAGCGGUGAAAUGUGUAGAGAUCGGGAGGAACACCGGUGGCGAAGGCGGUCUUCUGGACGGUGACUGACGCUGAGGCGCGAAAGCGUGGGGAGCAAACGGG